Long non-coding RNA from Zingiber officinale, 4592 nucleotides. RefSeq lists it as uncharacterized. Lineage: Eukaryota; Viridiplantae; Streptophyta; Magnoliopsida; Zingiberales; Zingiberaceae. The transcript has 3 exons. The record is from RefSeq and is a predicted model, not a curated record.
AAGGGGUCGGUGACCCAUCUGCUAAAUAAUCACCUCUUUAGCUUCAAGCUCUAUCUCCUUGGUCUUCUCUCUUGGAAAUCAAAGGCAAGGGCGGAGGGCGACACGGUGAGGGUUGUGCUACUUCGCUCCUUAUCAUGCUCCUUGUCCUAUAGGUGCCAUCUCUCCACACCACACUCCUUGUCCUGCCUCUUCUCCUCCAACCUCCGCAGGUCCAAGAGGUCACAACAGUUCUUCCCCUACACUGUGUCAGCUCUCCACUUUGGCGGAAGCACCCCACGUCGCUGCUACGCUUGAGGCGAGGCUUUCCUAUAACUUCCAUCCACACAGUCUCCACCUCCCUCGUCGAGAGAGGUAUGGAUAAGAGGAACCAAGCAUGGUUGAUUCGCCUAGGGUGUUUCUCUCCUUCUUUCUCAUGCCGAUUUUAAAGAAUUGAUUUUGAUUUUAGUUUUACAUUGCAGGAACCCUUUUGUUAUUUUUCUUGAUGCAAGUUGAAUUUUUGCUUGAUUUUUCUAGCAGAUUUCUUUUGUUUCUAGAGAUUGAUUCAUCAAUGCUUUGAACAUUUUUUCCUUUUGGUUAAUAGUACAUCUUAUGUUUACCUAAUAUGUUGAUCUUGACUUUUCUUCACUAGUUGGUUGUAGACUCCAUUUGAUUUCCAUCAAUUAGGUUGAUGGCGUAUGAUGGAUCAAGUUAAAUUAGAAAUUUGAACAUCAGUAUUAGAUAGUGCAUUAGAGGUGCAUAUUCACUUGUCUAUGGAAACUGUAGUUGUAAAAAGGAUUAGAAAUGCUAUAUACUUUAUUUAUCACUACUGAUUUAAGGCUUUGUUUAUUUAUGCUAUCUACUUCAAUUUCUCUCUUUGCUAGCUCUGGAUUUUUCUUCUGUCUCCUUAUUAUUUUAUCAUAUGGCCAAUUAUGUCUUGUGCUCUACUUAUCUUCAAUUAUUGGAUCUUAUAUUGAGCUUGCUUUUUACUCAAUUAGAUAUUCAUACUACUUUAUUUAGUAGAGUUUCCUGACAUGUCCAUUUUGCCAACAAAAAAAAAAAUGUUAAGAUGAGUAUUUUGGUGGUUGAUUUGAUAUUAUGACUCUUCAUGAAUAUCUACAGCAAAUGGUUCUUUCACCUUGAAUAUUUUAAGGUGUGAUUAAUCAUUUUCUUUGUUUUUGCCCUUUUCAACCUGUCCAGUCUUAUAAUAAACUUGUAGUAAGGCUAACAUCUUUUUCCUUAAACUUUGCCCUUGCAUUGAAAAUUAUUGCAUUUUAAUUUAUAUAUCAUGCGAAGGGAAUAUGUAUAUAUAUUUUCAUGAAAGCGUUUAUCUUAUGAUGCAUUUAGUUGAACAAAAGUGAAAGAGAAAAACAUAAUUUGCUGCUUUUCAAUUUAAUUACAUUUCUUCUCUCCUAAUUCCUCUGUUUCAAGUCAACACAGUAUUAAAGGAAUUUCAUUUGACUCAUGAUUCCUUUUCAUGAUAUCUAAAUAAUACACUGAUCUUGCAGGUAUCUUUUUGAACAAAAGUCUAUUACCCAAAUAUUAACAACAACAACAUCUGCCUUGACAUUCUAUUAUUACUACUAAACAUGUAUAUCAAACCAAAUGUUAUUUAUGCAUGUCGAGAAAUACCUAUAUGACAUUCAAAUACCUAGAUUUGUAAUUGGGGAUUGAUGAAUUUAACUAUUUCUUUUCAAAUUUUAACUCUAGGUUCGAGAAAGAGGUCACCAUAGAAUUAUUCUAAGGUUAUAGAUAUAUUAGGAAAAUGACCUCUUCUAGUUGCAUGGUUGGUAUGCUUUCUAGUGUCAUAACUAUGCAUGAUGAUUCAUUAGUGGUUUAUCUAACAACUUUAUUUUCAUACUUCUAUUAAUAUUUUUAGAACUACUAUUUCUAAGGUCAUAAAUCUUAAUACAUCCUGAUUAAUUUAUUAUUAUUUGAUUGAAGCAAAAUCUCAAACCAAGUUAUUAAUAUUAUACUUUUUAUAUUUCAGUUUGCAGUUUACAUGAGGUAUGUUGUCUUAAAUACUAUAGUUGUUCACAUGCUAUGCUUUGUUCACAUGCUUUUGUUUUGAUUUACAUGGGGUAUAUUUAGAUUUACCAUUAUUUUGUCAUUACCUUAUAAUUACCUUGUAGUUACCUUUACAAAUACUUGAAGAAAGAAAAUAGAGCCGAGUAUGUUUCAUUUGUAGAUUUUGGUCAUAUACCUACAUAUGGUGUGAGCAAAGAAGACAAUAAAUUGUCACAACAUAUUGCUGCUCAGUUUGGAGCAUCAAACAGAGAUAAUAUCUACUUCAUCCGAUACAACACUGGGUAUCAUUGGAUCUAGAUUCUUUUUGUUUUCUUUCGUUUCGACUUUGAGUUUUUUUUAGUCUUUCUGAAUUGGUAUAAUUACCUCUUUAGAAAAUUUUCCCGUUGUAAUUUCUUUGAAUUGCUCAAACUGGUGCAAUAUAAAUCAAGUUUUCUUAUCUUUAUCAUUUCCCACACUACUAAUCCAAGACCUAGUUUUGGGAUUUCUUUUGUUGCUUAUUUUUUGUGUGAAAGAUUCUAAUGGCCCAAAGCGAAGGCUUCAACACCGCGCAUCCUCCACUCUUCGCCAGGGAUGACUUCCCGUAUUAGAAGAGGAGAAUAGAGGUGUACCUCAAGAUGGACAUCGAUAAGUAGUUCUCAAUCUAACGUGGGUACCAGGCAUCGGUUGACGAAGCAACCAAAGAACCUAUUGAUUUGGACUAAAGCACUAAACACCCUCCAGUGCAGACUGACAAAGGAGGAACUCAACCGGGUUGACCUAUUUGAAAAUGCAAAGGAGCUGUUGGACAAGCUAAUCAAACAGCACGAGGGCACCAGUGACACGAAGGUAACAAAAAGAGAUGUAUUAUUAAAUUCAUUAUUCAAUAUCAAAAUGUAGGAUGCAAAAAUGACAACACAACUUCAUGCAAGGAUCAAAGGCAUCCUCAACGGGUUGCACCUCAUCUGCCAUGAGUUCAAAACUGGGAUGUCAUAAGGCAUAAAAAGGGUCAUGGACCCGAUCAGAUCAGACCAUAUUUGGGCUCAAAUCUAGGGCUAAACAAGUCGAUCAAGCUUUGGAUCGAUUUGGACCGUUCAUUAAAGAUCAGAGAGAUCUGAGCCAUCCGUCAAGAAUCUGGUCCAUCCGACCUAAUGAGGAUCAGAUCUCGUCCGUUGAUGAAGAUCCAGAGAUUUUGAUCCAGAUCUGAGUUCAUCCAACCGUUGAUCAAGCCUCGAAUUGUUCUGGACCGUUGGAUCAUAUUUGAGAAGGAUUUAAAAGCCUCGCGAGAAGCUACAGUGAGUUGGACUCGGCGUUUUCGCUAUCACUGUUCCUUCUUCUUAUUCUCCACGACGCCGAGGUUCCCGUUCUCCAUUCCAGAUCCGGAUGUUAGCAUUCUUCAUCGGCGGCGAUUCCUGAGCUCCGACGUUCACCAUCCGAGGACACAAAGAGCGGCAGAGGGUGUUCCCCAGUCCGCGAAGUUGAGUUCUGUCCCAGUUCGCAAUCCAGGCAAGAGGCGUUCCCAGAUCUGGAUUUCCAUCAGCCAACGGAGCUCUCGAGGGUGGUUCCCAGAAGCUCCGAUCGCAUUUCUGUUCUUCAUUCCAUUAGCAACUCCAACCGAUCUGAUCAAUCGAGUGACGUGCGCAAAUCCAGAAUUCAUGCUCUGUUUCCUUGUGCAUUGAGGAUUCCACUCGGGUGUGAGCUCGAAGGGCGUUCUCAGAGGCUAUGAACAUCCGGGUGGAUUAGCUGGUAGUUCGAGAUUCAAGCCAAUUGCCCAAAGGCCGUUCUCAGAGGCAAUUCUAUAGUGACAGCAGGGAGAAGAAGCUUGCGGCAAGGAUCCAUGGAUAAGGAACGUUUACCUCAUUUGCAUUUUGCUUUUGAAUUGUCCAUGAAUAUGCUCAGAUCUAAUGAUCUGAUUUAUUUUCUUGCCAUUUCGUUUUGUUUGAGUUUAGUUUUUAUAUGCAAUUUUGUUUCUGAUUUCUUAUUUCUUAUUUGCAAGUUUGUUUUCAUUUGAAUGUUUGCAAUGCAAAUCAUGUUUAGCUACUAACUUAGUUGCAAUUUAGACUUUGAUUUAAAUUAGGUGUUCUGAUUCUAACAAGGUUAUUGAGUUGCAAUUCAAGAAUUUAGGAGAACCUUUAGUUCUAUUCAUUAGAUUAGUUGUGAGUGUAAUGAAGUUUAAUUGUUGGAUACUUAAUUUGAAAUGCUGAAUGUUUACCUCUGUUCAUUGUCAUUGCGAAUGAGCUUCUGAGUUUUAGUGUUGAUUGUGAUUGAGUAUAGAAGACUUGGAAAUUAAGUUGAGUAUUGAAGUGGAUUGUGAUGGUGAAUGCAAUGUUGAUUUCGGUUUGUAAAUGACUUUAGUUUUUUGAGUUUAAUGGCUACUGUGAAUUUGAAUGCUUGAAUGUUUUGUUACUGUGAAUUUGAAUGAAAGGUAAAUUAAUUGACUCAUUUGAUUAGAUGAAACUUAAAGAGCCGAAUUUAAAUGUUGACAACUUGAUGAGGUAAAGUUUAAUCAUGUUUAGUUGAGAAUGAGUUGUUGGUGCAAGUUGCACCAGAAUCACACCUGAGUUUUGAUGUUGUCAAAGGUUCAAGUUAAGUCUUGUUAUGAUCUAACAAGU